ACCAUUAUUUACAUAAUUGAUGCAACCUGAUUGAUUAUGACAACGUUAGAAAGACUCU
This 58-nucleotide transfer RNA is filed under the name Aliivibrio salmonicida LFI1238. RNAcentral's name for it is "transfer RNA-Gln". The record is from RNAcentral. Lineage: Bacteria; Pseudomonadati; Pseudomonadota; Gammaproteobacteria; Vibrionales; Vibrionaceae.